GACGAACGCUGGCGGCGUGCUUAACACAUGCAAGUCGAACGAAGUGGCGAACGGGUGAGUAACGCGUAAUCAACCUGCCCUUCAGCGGGGGACAACAGGUGGACACGACUGCUAAUACCCAUACUGAAGGAGGGGAUUGCGUGUGAUUCGCUAGUUGGAGGGGUAACGGCCCACCAAGGCGAUGAUCAGGAGACGGUCUGAGAGGAUGAACGGCACAAUUGGGACUGGAAAACUGCCCAGACUCCUACGGGAGGCAGCAGGGGGGAAUCUUCCGCAAUGGACGAAAGUCUGACGGAGCAACGCCGCGGGAGUGAUGACGGCUUUCGGGGUGGAAAGCUCUGUUAAUCGGGACGCGGUACCGUAAUAGAAAGCCACGGCUAACUACGUGCCAGCAGCCGCGGUAAUAC
This 407-nucleotide ribosomal RNA is filed under the name uncultured bacterium. RNAcentral's name for it is "partial 16S ribosomal RNA". It matches the Rfam family "Bacterial small subunit ribosomal RNA", at positions 28 to 526 of the family's 1533-position model. The record is from RNAcentral.